Molecule: long non-coding RNA, 315 nt
Filed under: Brassica rapa (field mustard)
Lineage: Eukaryota; Viridiplantae; Streptophyta; Magnoliopsida; Brassicales; Brassicaceae
Description: long non-coding RNA (BRAP_LNC008323)
Source: RNAcentral
UAGAAAUGAAUGAAAACAAGACAUAAAAACUAGAAAUGAAGACUUUGACUAAAGACUGGUCAAGGUGCGGAUUCUUGUGUUGACUGGUCCAGAUUCACAAAGAUGUCCAGGUUCAUUCUGUAGUGAUCAGGUCGACCGCAGUAAGGAGCAGGACGGACGUAAGGCUGCCCGCAUGGUUGAUCGUCGAUGAUCCAUGAACGGAUGAAGAGAUAGCUCGACCCAAAUCUCCAAAGAGCUUAAGUAUCCUUCCUUUGGAGUAGUUGGAAGCAUCGAUCAUCAUGAAAUCAUCAAAGUGGUUGGAAAGGUCGUGAUCAG